AAUACGUAGGUGGCAAGCGUUGUCCGGAAUCACUGGGCGUAAAGCGCGCGCAGGCGGCGAUCUACGUCUGGGGUGAAAGCCCGGAGCUCAACUCCGGGACUGCCUUGGAUACGGGAUCGCUUGAGGAUUGGAGAGGCAAGGGGAAUUCCACGUGUAGCGGUGAAAUGCGUAGAUAUGUGGAGGAACACCUGUGGCGAAGGCGCCUUGCUGGCCAAUUUCUGACGCUGAGGCGCGAAAGCGUGGGGAGCAAACAG
This 254-nucleotide ribosomal RNA is filed under the name uncultured prokaryote. RNAcentral describes it as "partial 16S ribosomal RNA". It matches the Rfam family "Bacterial small subunit ribosomal RNA", at positions 522 to 775 of the family's 1533-position model. The record is from RNAcentral.